UAUUCCUUCCUCCCGAGCAGAACAAAAUCCGAUCUGGCUACCACCCACCGAGCGCUGCGUAGGUUGGCGUCAUGGCGCCCCAUAAGUUCUCCCCCGCGCGUGGUCUCCGUCGUGCUCUAGGACAAGCGCCAUCCCUGGCCCCGAGCUCCAACCCUGAUCUCCGACCAUAAUCUGCUGCUCGACCAGAUCUGGGGAUCCCCGCGGCGGUUGCGGAAGAAGAUAGACCCACGCCCGCCCAAAGCGUCAUGGCCUGCUUUGUUCGAUUCCUCCCGCCGCCUGCUGCCCGGUCCUUCCGCGUGAUCCUAGGCUUCCAAGCGCCGCCAAAUUAGGUGAAUCCCGAAGUUUAAGAUUAAAGCUUCACGCACAUGCCCGCGAGAAUCUGAGGUGCUCCGCGAGAAUAUGAGGGAUUCCAGUUGCUGGAUUUGAUCCCUUGGCAGAUUCUCCAUCCCGAUGUGCUCCGGUGAGCCGCUCGUGCCGCAGGGCGCUCGCCUGCGCGAGUGCGCGAGGCCCGUAUUGGCUCAGCUCAUUGCCGGUGCCUCCUCCCGCAUCUUCUUCUCCACCUCCGCCUUCCAUGGCGACCGCGCGGACCUGGAGGUUGUUAGGUUGUCGUCUCUAUAUCACGAGGUGGAGCAGGGAAAGUUGCCUGACCCCGUGUAGUACCUGGUUGGAGGUGGUCAGGCUCUCGUCUCUGUACCCUCUGGCCUCUGCUGCCCGGCUCCCCGCAUGCAAAGUUCAAUGGUUCAAUGAAAGGAGUUCGAGAAGGCACAAACAGGUUGGUCAAUCUUCUGGCCUACAAGCGAACAUCAUUGGGCAGCGACAUCUCCGCCAGACUAAAUGAGAAUUGCCUGCAGAAUCUGAGAUUUCUCAAUCCAGACGUGCAGGUAAUGCUCACUUAGGUGUCAUGGAAUUGCAGAUUCCAUCUUUGAGUGCUCGGAUUCUUUAUUAGGUGCUAAAACGUACUGCAGGGUGGAAAAUCAAGCUGCAAACUUAUAUUGGAAAUAUAGCUGAAAACGGAGAAACAAUUGGUUAGCAUUCUGAAAACUUACCCUACACUAUCAGCGUCUGCUGACGUUGUGCUGCCAGAGAAUUACUACUUGCCAUAACAUUCCUGAAUUCAAGCACCUGUCGUUUUAGUUUGAAGUACCUGUUGUCUGACGAACUUAUUGUUUUAUGAUUCUCUUUAUGAAUUGUUUGACGCUACUCUGAGAAGCUUCUAAAUUACUUCAGAGCUGGGGAGGCUAGCACAUGUAUUUCCCUGCAAUGCCGACGCCGGCAAGGAGAUCAGGCUUUGUCUACCAGCAGCUCAACAUCUCACCCAGGACAGCAAUACUCAAACCUUUGGUCGUCCUCGUCGUACUCCCGCACGCGCCAAUGUGGGCCAGGCCCAGCGAUACUCAAACCUUUGCUAUAGGGUGUCUGAUAUUGUGCAGAAGGAAUGCUCUCGUUAUUUUUACAUGAACGUGCUCAGCUCGGCUUCUCGGUUAUUCUCGUGUGUUAAAUUUUUGUAGAUUUAUUUUCUUUUGCAGGAGACCAGGUUUGAGAGGUUUGUCGGGAGAGAGGAUUUCUUCAUUGGACUAGGUGGUCAUAUUUUUCUGCUCAGCAGGGAGAGGAAAUCAGUUUGAUUAUGUCCGCAGCAAAGUCCAAGAUAUGGAAUGGCUGCUUGAAACGAAUUGGACCGAGUAAGAAUGAUUCUGAACAACAUGGGUUCUUGGUUUACUUGUUGCUAUAAUUCCUCACUUCUCUGUUGAACCUUGUUUGCACUGGUUUGCACACAUGUGAGAGUGGUUGUGUUGUCUACCAAUGCUAGAAGUACAGACACCAUCUUCAAGAACUAUAAUAUUUCAUUGUUUUACUGCUUGGACCAAAUUCGGUUAUGUUUUAAUUGUUGGGACAAUUCAUCCUGAUUUAUGCUCUUAAACCAGAUUUCGGUGACAAGUGAUGUUUUUGAAUCAAUUCUCCAUAACGAUUUAAAAUCCCAGUGAAUGUUCUUGAGUUUUAUGUUAUGAGCUAUGUUCCUAUAUUUUGCGGACUCAAUAGAAGAAGCAAGCUGAUGUAGAUGUUCUUUGUCACUAUUCACAAUAUGAUAUGGUGUGCAUCGGUGAGGGAAUUCGCCCCACUGAUCUCCGGUUGUGUCUUAUGAAGUGUGGCAGAGAUAAUGGCAGAGAACAUUGAUGAGAUGUAGGAAGAAGUAAGAGGAGUCUUUGUCUUCCUGUGUGUGGUGGUGUGGAAAGAGACAUGUAACAAGGAGCCAAGGAGGGAGAGAAUCAAGUGGGUGCACGGUGUUGCCUGUAGUGGCAAGAAAGAAGUGGUAAUUCAUUGCAAGUCAAAAGUGGAGCUGAAGCAUAAGCCUGGAAGCUUUGAUUGCUGUUUAAUACAUCGUGUGUUAUCAGUAUUGUUUUUUAAUUUAUGGAUUUGUCCGAGUAACGAUCUUUAUGGGACUAAUUGGUCCAAAGAAUAUAACUAUUUUUUCGCUAUAUUGCUGAAUGCCCAGUUUCUUGCAUUCUUUAUGGACACAUGUACACAUAAGAU
Molecule: long non-coding RNA, 2529 nt
Organism: Lolium perenne
Lineage: Eukaryota; Viridiplantae; Streptophyta; Magnoliopsida; Poales; Poaceae
Source: RefSeq, a predicted model, not a curated record